Molecule: ribosomal RNA, 354 nt
Filed under: Physarum bivalve
Lineage: Eukaryota; Evosea; Eumycetozoa; Physariida; Physaraceae
Also listed under: 1 other name
Description: partial small subunit ribosomal RNA
Rfam family: Bacterial small subunit ribosomal RNA
Source: RNAcentral
CGUAGGUGGAUAAUUAAAAAUACAGUAAAAAACUGAGGAUAACCUUCUUUAAUCUGCAUUCACUAAUUAUCUGAGUUUUAUGGGCGGUUUAUUGAAUUCUUGAAGGAAGGGUGAAAUUGUUGAUAUUGGAAGACAUUCGAUAGCGAAAGCAUUAACCGAUAUAAAUCUGACACUAGGUACUAAAGUAUGGGGAUAAAUAGGAUUAGAGACCUAGUAGUCCAUACCUUAACAAUGAGUGUUUAACAUCUUUUGGCAUUCGUGUCGUCUGAGGUUUAAAGCUAACGCGUGAAACACCGCCUGGGGACUGUGGCCGCAAGGUUAAACUCAAAGGAAUUGACGGUGGCUUAUACAAGG